GCUGCCGUAGCUCAGCCGGUAGAGCACCAGAUUGUGGAUCUGGGGGUCAUGGGUUCAAGUCCCAUCGGCAGUA
Molecule: transfer RNA, 73 nt
Filed under: Actinomycetes bacterium
Lineage: Bacteria; Bacillati; Actinomycetota; Actinomycetes
Description: tRNA-His
Rfam family: tRNA
About the family: Transfer RNA (tRNA) molecules are approximately 80 nucleotides in length. Their secondary structure includes four short double-helical elements and three loops (D, anti-codon, and T loops).
Source: RNAcentral